UUUAAUGUAACACAAUGUUUUAACAUGUUUACCUAUUUUUUUGUGAUUUGUUCAAACAGUGUUGUCAAUAAAGUGAGUGGCAUUUUAAACGUGUGUCAUAGAGUGAGAGGUUUAAUUGGCUAAAUUAAUUUAAUCAUGUAAACGAUUGAUUGAUUGUUGGUUGCUUAACGUCCAGUGGCAAAUAUUUCAUGCAUAUUCAGGACGAGAACAAGUUAACAAUAAACACAAUAGGUAGGUUGUUAUAAUAGAGGAUGAUGGUCGGGGAAAUUUGGACUUCCACAUCAUGUAAACGAAAAAUAAUUUUAACGUUAGUGGUGCGGAAUGUUAAGCCUUGAAUGACUAAAGCAACUUGAGCAAAAUUAUUAAUCAAAGACCAAAAUAAAUGAAAAGGCAGAUUUUGUAAAUAGUAUUUAAUUGAAUCAAACACUGGACAGUUUCCAGGUAAAUAAAAAAAAAACACAUUUUUUAGUUGAUUAACUCAAAAUUCUCACUUUUGCUUUUCAGCUAUUUAAC
This 513-nucleotide long non-coding RNA is filed under the name Mytilus galloprovincialis (Mediterranean mussel). The record is from RNAcentral. Lineage: Eukaryota; Metazoa; Mollusca; Bivalvia; Mytilida; Mytilidae.